Molecule: ribosomal RNA, 115 nt
Filed under: Escherichia coli
Lineage: Bacteria; Pseudomonadati; Pseudomonadota; Gammaproteobacteria; Enterobacterales; Enterobacteriaceae
Description: partial 16S ribosomal RNA
Rfam family: Bacterial small subunit ribosomal RNA
Source: RNAcentral
AAAUUGAAGAGUUUGAUCAUGGCUCAGAUUGAACGCUGGCGGCAGGCCUAACACAUGCAAGUCGAACGGUAACAGAAAGCAGCUUGCUGCUUUGCUGACGAGUGGCGGACGGGUG